UCCGGAAUUCCGGGCGGGAAGGUCUCUGCCCUCCGGGACUUUCCCGUUUUCCGGGGCUCCGUGCAGAAUUCCCGUUGUUCUCCCGUUUUUCCAGCCGGGCGUGCGGCUGCACUUUGUGGAGCUGGGCCGGGGCCCGGCGCUCUGCCUGUGCCACGGAUUCCCGGAGUCCUGGCUCGCCUGGCGCUUCCAGAUCCCGGCGCUGGCCCAGGCCGGAUUCCGGGUGAUCGCCCUGGAGAUGAAGGGAUACGGGGAAUCCACCGCGCCCCAGGGUGAGAGAGAGCGGGAGCGGCGGGAAGGGACAGCGGGAAUAGCGGGAAUAACUAACGGGA
Long non-coding RNA from Pyrgilauda ruficollis (rufous-necked snowfinch), 329 nucleotides. RefSeq lists it as uncharacterized. The record is from RefSeq and is a predicted model, not a curated record. The transcript has 2 exons. NCBI's taxonomy places the organism in Eukaryota, Metazoa, Chordata, Aves, Passeriformes, Passeridae.